UGGGGAAUUUUGGACAAUGGGCGCAAGCCUGAUCCAGCCAUGCCGCGUGUAUGAAGAAGGCCUUCGGGUUGUAAAGUACUUUUGUCAGGGAAGAAAAGCCUGGGGAUAACACCCUCAGGUCAUGACGGUACCUGAAGAAUAAGCACCGGCUAACUACGUGCCAGCAGCCGCGGUAAUACGUAGGGUGCGAGCGUUAAUCGGAAUUACUGGGCGUAAAGCGAGCGCAGACGGUUAUUUAAGCAAGAGGUGAAAGCCCCGGGCUCAACCUGGGAACUGCGUUUUGAACUGGGGAGCUAGAGUGUGUCAGAGGGGGGUAGAAUUCCACGUGUAGCAGUGAAAUGCGUAGAGAUGUGGAGGAAUACCGAUGGCGAAGGCAGCCCCCUGGGAUAACACUGACGUUCAUGCUCGAAAGCGUGGGUAGCAAACA
This 427-nucleotide ribosomal RNA is filed under the name uncultured prokaryote. Its description in RNAcentral is "bacterial SSU rRNA". It matches the Rfam family "Bacterial small subunit ribosomal RNA", at positions 355 to 774 of the family's 1533-position model. The record is from RNAcentral.